Molecule: ribosomal RNA, 200 nt
Filed under: uncultured bacterium
Lineage: Bacteria
Description: partial 16S ribosomal RNA
Rfam family: Bacterial small subunit ribosomal RNA
Source: RNAcentral
AUUGAACGCUGGCGCCAUGCCUUACACAUGCAAGUCGAACGGUAGAGUAGCAAUACUCGAGAGUGGCGAACGGGUGAGUAAUAUAUCGGAACGUGCCCAGUCGUGGGGGAUAACGUAGAGAAAUUUACGCUAAUACCGCAUACGAUCUAAGGAUGAAAGCGGGGACUCGCAAGGGCCUCGCGCGAUUGGAGCGGCCGAUA